RNAcentral lists this ribosomal RNA (369 nucleotides) under uncultured bacterium. RNAcentral describes it as "bacterial SSU rRNA". It matches the Rfam family "Bacterial small subunit ribosomal RNA", at positions 29 to 412 of the family's 1533-position model. The record is from RNAcentral.
AACGAACGCUGGCGGCAUGCCUAACGCAUGCAAGUCGAACGAGACCGCUGACUUCGGUUGGCGCGUCUAGUGGCGCACGGGUGCGUAACGCGUGGGAAUCUGCCCUUGGGUACGGAACAACAGUUAGAAAUGACUGCUAAUACCGUAUAAUGACUUCGGUCCAAAGAUUUAUCGCCCAGGGAUGAGCCCGCGUAGGAUUAGCUUGUUGGUGAGGUAAAGGCUCACCAAGGCGACGAUCCUUAGCUGGUCUGAGAGGAUGAUCAGCCACACUGGGACUGAGACACGGCCCAGACUCCUACGGGAGGCAGCAGUGGGGAAUAUUGGACAAUGGGCGCAAGCCUGAUCCAGCAAUGCCGCGUGAGUGAUGAA